ACUUGGGUUAAAUUUUUACUUUUAUUUCUUCUUGUGACUAUUUUUUAUAAUUUUAAAUAAUGCAUCUAUAUCUCUGUUACUUAGUUUGCCAGCUUUAAAAAGUAUUGAUCCCUCAUUCCCAGCUAUUAAACCCUGGUGAAUUAAUGCACAUUUGCCUCCUAUUAUUUCCUUUAAACCUUUCAAUUCUGUCAUUUUUUCAUCAAGGUUUACAUCAUUUGCAGUCUAUUCUGUUACAUCUUCCCCUUCUUAUCCCAUUAUUUAAUGGCAAAUCUAUUUUUAAUUUGAUUUGAGAUUAACUUAUGUUUAUUUAUCAUGGCUUCUCUCAAUAUUAAAAAGGGAGACUAAACUCUAUCAUUAAACAUUUUGCUUUAUCUCAGUGCUUAUUGUUCAGCACCAUGAUUUUCUAGGAUACAGUUUGUCCUUUUCAAUAUAAAGAUUCAGACUAAAUUCUGGAAUUUUUAUUUCCAGAAAAAUUUUAUUCUAUUACACUUAGAAAUUGUUUUCCAUUUGUUCUGUUCUUUUUCCCUUCACAAGUAUCGGUUGUUCCUAUAUUUCCUUUGUCUUCCAAACGUAGAACAUAAAAUUUUAAUUUAUUCAAUUUUAAUAGGUAAAUCAUUUACAUAAUUCCAAAAUACAAAUUAUAAAAUGAUAUACAGUAAAAAGUCUAACUUUCAUCCAGUUUUCCCUCAUUCUUACACCAUCUUCUGACAGGUAACCACUGCUAUUGGUUCAUUAUCUUGUUUAAAAACCAGAACUGAUGGGUCAAGGAGCAUAUAUGUACUUGUUACUUUGGUAGAUAUUAUAAAAUUUAUCUCCAUUUCAAGUUGCUUUUUUUUAGCAUUUUGAUAGAUGAAGAUGCAUCUUGUUGUUUUCAAAUUUGCAUUUCUCUUAUCAUGAAUAUUUUAAUCUUUACCUUAUGUAUGAGUUUAAUAUAUAUUAAUAUGUUUAAGAGCCAUUUGAAUGUUUUGUGCAAGUUUCUCUACUGAGUUGUUGGUCUUUUAUCAAUUUGAAAGAGAAAUGAUUUGUUAGGAAUAUAUUUUUAUUUGAGAUAGGAGUGCCAAUCAUAAUUACCACUUUCUCACAUAAUUUAAAAAUUAUUUUUAAGUUAAAAAUUUUUUUCUCGUUGACAUUUCUGGUGGUAUUGUUAGAAGUUCCUUCCUUCUUGGACUUUCCAUAUCUAAUGUGGCUUUUAGUACUACAACAGUUUUAUUUUUCUCUUCCAUCUCGUUCCUGUUUUCUCACAGGUCAUUUUAUUUCUCUUUUUGUUGUCUUAUCUCUUUGAUCCCAUAUAUCCAAUAUUUGACCUCUUAUUUUUAAAAAGCUACAAUUUCUUCUGUUUCUUUGCUAUUAGAGACAAUAUAUUAUUUUCUGGUAUAACUCUUAUUAUGGUAUAUAUCUUGAUCUGUUUUUUUGCUUAUGUCACAUUUGCUUUAAGAUAGUUAAGCAUGGGUCCAAUGCUGGUUCUUUUCUAUUUACCAUUUUUCAAUCAGCCAAUUUUAUCAGCUCUUUGCUGACUAGGAGAGGGAAUGAAAUGGGGCAGUACAGAGUUUCAUUUUGGUGCCAUAUUUCCUGGCACAUUAUGCCCUUUCUCUUCACCUCCACUAUGCAUACUGCUCAAGGAAUAUGCCUCUGCUUAGUUACUUCUCCAUAUGGGUUAAUGGGAGUCCUAAAGGACUUGUAUGAAAUCCUAUAUAUUACAGAUUCUUGCUGGAGAUAAUUUAAUGUUUCUUUUUCUUCUACUGAAUGUGAUCAACACGGCAAAAGCUAAUGUAGUUUUUACUAUAUCCACCUUGCCAGCUUCACAUCCUGGUCUGUGGCAAGCUGAUGUCACUCCUUUUACUGCCAGCUUCUUUGUUGACAUCUGUUGUAGAAUAGGGCUCAGGGCUGCAUCCAUACAUGCAUAAACCACCUACAGCUUAGAUUUUCCUGUUUCAUGUAGAUAAUGGUAGCAUGUCCCCCUUAGGGUCAUUUCAUCUAUUUUUGGAGGUUCUGACUACUACAUAUGUUUAACAUACUCUCAAUAUCCCCCCUGACUUGGCCUAAAUUUCAUAAUAUUCCAUGGCUUGUAAUUUGACAUUGCACCUGUUCUUUAGAGAAAGAGGAGUUUUAUGUGCCUCAUUUUUGUUUGUUUGUUUGAUCGCUUAUUUGGUUUUUGCAUAAAAAAGUAUGAAAUAGAAUUUGCAUUUACUUUUUCAUCUAUGUCCUCUUAAAUUGACAAGAAGAAAACUUUACUUACAAGCCUCUCUUCACUCUUCUCUCAGUUAAGUGCUUGGCCAUUCCUGUCCCAAAUUUGAUACCAUCAUUGUAAGCUUCCAGAGGAAGCUAUGGAAUGAAGCUAUGGUUGUAGAAUGACAAGUAAUAUGGAAGAUGUGGGCAAGAAGCUAGAGGACCACAAUGAGUAUCUGUAAAAUUACUUCAUGUGAGUGACUGAUAAAUUACGUUUCAGUUACUUAAGCUCUAGCAUUUGCUACUGAAAUGCCUCAUUUUUCUAUAAUAACAGAACAAUAGGAAAAACUAAUUUUUUUAUUUAUGUGUUUAAACAAUUUUAAACAUUAGGGUGGAUUUCCUAUCUUCUAAAGAAAUGACUCAAUAUAGUGAAAGUACGUCGGCAUGAGAAGUUCUAGAUUCUUAAGCUCUGUCUGCCAUGUAUUACUAAUAAAAUUUUGGCAAACCAUUCCUAUCUGUAAAAUUGGUAUAGGAAUACUUCUUUUCUUAACAGAUAGGUUUUCUGUGAGUGGCAAAUGAAGUAACAUCUAUCAAAACGCUUGUAAACUAAUAAAUAACCAGAAAAGUAUGAGGGUUUUAAUAACAAAAGAUGAUCCAGAUAAAAAUAAAGUAUUAUGAUACUUGCAAAGAUAAUACAGAUAUAUGAAACAGUUUAUCCUUUACAACAUGAUAGGCUUUUGUUCUCCUUUUGUGUGCUUUUUCUAAUUGUUCGGCUAAGCUCUGAACUGCCAAUUCACUUCUCAUUCCUUUCAGUGAGUCUGCCUUUAGGAAUAAAACUGCCUCUCUCCCUGCUUCCUCUUCCAUAGUACAUUUAUAUAGUUCUUGUAUAUUUUUUAUGUUUUUUAUUGCCUCAAAAACAUGUUUUUUAUGUUUUUUACUGCUGUGAAAGACAGUAUACUGUAAUGAAAAGAGAAAGAAUCUCUGAAAUCAGACAGACCUGAAUUGAAUCCCGGGCUCUCUGUCCUUAUGCACAUCAUUUAACAUCCCUGAAUCUAUUUUCUCAUUCACAAAAUGAAUGUUUAUAAGUAUUAUUAUGAGAAAAAAUAUAUAUCAUAUCUACAUAAAGUUUGGUACACACUGUGGAUUUUAAAAUCAUAGAUACUCUGAAGGUCAUAUGUAAAGUUUUCGGAUUUCAUCAAAUCUUAUUUGCCUUCUUAAAGGCACAUUUUACUUAUUUUUAUGUUCUUAAUUGAGAUUUUAAGAGUUGACAAGUAAUAUAUUACAGUAGUUUGAUCAAUAGCUUUUCUACUCAUGAACCAUUUCACUUUUUAAAAUGCCACCAUAGAAUCUAUUUUCUUUAAAAUCUACUUUUUGUUGCUAUCCCUGAAUAAUUUGAUAGUUCCAACUGUUUCUCUGUUUCAAUUAAUUUUUUUGUCUUAAUUAACUUUUUCUCUUGUAAAAUAAUAUAUCCCAAUCUUAAACCUUCAGAACAGAGACCAUAUUAUCUCUGUUCAUAAUACACUGAAUAUUCUGUUAAAAACAAUACCACUGUGAAGAAAUGAUUAUGUAUGUGAAUACUACGGAUUUCACAAAUUUACCACUCUGCCUGAACUCUUUCCUAGAUCACAGGAUAUUAUUAUAUGACACUUACAAAAUUCUUUAUCAUUUUGCAAAUAUCUCAUAAUCAUCUAAUGGAAGUCUUCAAAACACUAGUAUAGGUUGAUUUUAUUACUGUUGGUGAGAAGAGGAAACGAAGAUGAAAUAAUGAACAUUUGUCAGAUAUCAAACCCCAUGCAUGCUACCAGGAAAAAUAGGGUUAGCACUCAGUCUCUGAUCUGCUGAUAUCUGUUGAGCCGGAGUUAUAUUAGCAUUAGAGGAAGAAAAAUAUCUAUUCAUUUCCAAGUAUUAUUAUUUGGAAAAGAUCAGUUCAGUGUUAAAGAGGUGGUUCUAUUAAUUUUCAAAAUAAAUAAAAAGCAAGUUCUGGUUAUUCUUGAGACUUGAGAUGGGAAGGGAGGCAGGAAAACCAUAAGCUAGGGCCACAGAGCAGGAAGAAGGUAAAGAAGAAAAAAAUUGGUGUUAGGCAAAUCCUCAUCCAUCAUCACAUGGGAGAAGUACUUUAAAGCAAGACCUCUGCCUUUCCUCAUCUGAGGUCUCCCCCAGAACCUUGUAGGAGAGGAAGACAUACUGCUGUGUCUUCAUUUGGGAAGCAGCAGGAAAAGGCAGUAUCUCCUUAGCUGAAAGAACCCCUUCCUGACAGCUGUGGGGAUAAGUACUUGUGCCACCAGACUUCUUAGAAAAUUAUCCCUAAAAUCACCAUUGUUCAGUCAGUUAGAAAAACAACAAAAACAAACCAAAAAACAACCACCAAACCAAAAAAACAAAAGAAAACAAACAGCUUCAAAGAGAAAAGAAUGUGGAAAGAGAGUAAGUAACAUAUGAAAUUUGAUGUGACCUUCCUAGCAUUUUUUUGGAGUUUAGGGUAGAGAGUAGAAAACACCCUGAACUGGGAUUUAGAAGUCUUGAUUUUAGUUUGAGCAGCUUCACUGUCUAGCUGUGUGAUUUCAGACAAGUGACUUAACCUCUCUGAUCCUUCAUAUUUAAAAUGAGGGGGCUGGUUACUAAGAAAUGUCUAAGAGUGCUUCGAGAGAUAAAUUCCCCAAUUAACAUUUGAUGGUGCUUUACCACCUACAAAUUGUUUCCGCAUACAUUAUCUAAUUUGAUUCUUGUGCUAGUUCUGAGGUAGUAAUAUUAUGAUCAUGCCCAUUUUAGAGGAGAAAUUCAGAAACCACAAAAUGGCAGAGCUGGCACUGAACAGAUGUUCCCAAGAGGAAAAUACCCCUUUAGUAAAAGCAGCAGCUGAUGCUCACAAGGAUAAGAAACAGCAGAUAAUUUAGGCUGUGAGCUCUUGUUUAGGGGUGCAACAGAAUUUCUGGAUGCUACACUGGGGCAAAGAUAAUCCACCCUGUGGAAUGUUAUCUGGUGAUGUAUUUAUCAAAAAAAAACUAAUAAAAAGAAAAUUAAAAAAAGAUACAAUAAUUGUUACUGCACUACACCCUAAUGAAUUAUUGUGUUCAAGGUUCCUACAAAAAAAAGUAAUAUUAUACUCGGCUUAUGUUUUAAUUGAUUUAUUAAUAUUUUAUCACAGGAAUGUAAUUUAAGCUCCUCAUGAUUUAGAUCUCAUAAACCUUUAGCAUUUUGCAAAUUCAAAUUCCAAUUUAAAGCCAGGGCGAGCAAUUAACUUUUCUAUCAUCUUGUCAGGGGAGAAGGUUCGUGUUUAAUUUGAGACAAAGUGACAGAAAUAUAUAUACACUGUAUGUAUUACUCCAAUUUAAUUUAUGAGUCAGCACCAUCCACCUUCAAAAUGUAGAUUUAAUAGAAGGGGAGGAAGAAAAGGCCGUGCUGUCAUGAUAGCUCUGUGAUAUCUGCCCUGAAUUUCUUAUAUGUUUGCGUGUGUGUGUGUGUGUGUGUGUGUGUGUGUGUGUGUGUGUAUCUAUAUCUAUAUGUCUACAUAUAUAUCUGGUUUGUUGAGAUACCAUCCUAGACUGAUGCAGGCCUACUUCUAAUUCUUUUGUUUUAAAUCCAUUUACUAAUUCUUUGUUCAUAUAGCAUAAAAUCUCAUAGAUAUCACACCCCCAAACACCUUUACCUCUGCUCCUCCCCAGUUCUCAGUUUCAUCUAGAUCUGCCCCUCCAGGUUUAUUCUGAAUCUAGACAAGUGAGAUACACUAUGGAAAAUAUUGCCUUGAGAUCAUUUCGUCAUCCUCUUUCUCAUUUUCCAAAGCAAUACUUUAAAUACUCUACCUAAAACAAACAAGCAACAAAAAAACCUCCCUACAACUUUAUAUUUUAAUUUAUAGGAUGUAUAUGGCAAGUUAAAACUGUGGCCCUUUCCAGUGAUCCUCUACAAAAUAUUUAAGGAGAAGAUAGAAGAAAGAAGCUCAAACCACAGAAGGUAGUCAGGUGAACAGAAGGGAAAUAUUUCCCUUUAGUGGUUAUUAAACACUGGCACAAGGCUGCAGAGAGGGGUUAAGGAAUUCUUUCUAGCUGUGUUAUCCUAUAAUUCACCAAAGGCGCACAAUGCUCUAUGCUGAUGAGAUGAGUUA
This 6268-nucleotide long non-coding RNA is filed under the name Sus scrofa (pig). RNAcentral describes it as "lncRNA (ENSSSCG00000056008.1)". Lineage: Eukaryota; Metazoa; Chordata; Mammalia; Artiodactyla; Suidae. The record is from RNAcentral.